UAGAGUUUGAUCCUGGCUCAGGACGAACGCUGGCGGCGUGCCUAACACAUGCAAGUCGAGCGAUGAAGUUCCUUCGGGAAUGGAUUAGCGGCGGACGGGUGAGUAACACGUGGGCAACCUGCCUCAAAGUGGGGGAUAGCCUCCCGAAAGGGAGAUUAAUACCGCAUAACAUUAUCUCUUUGCAUGAAGAGAUAAUCAAAGGAGUAAUCCGCUUUGAGAUGGGCCCGCGGCGCAUUAGCUAGUUGGUGAGGUAACGGCUCACCAAGGCGACGAUGCGUAGCCGACCUGAGAGGGUGAUCGGCCACAUUGGAACUGAGAUACGGUCCAGACUCCUACGGGAGGCAGCAGUGGGGAAUAUUGCGCAAUGGGGGAAACCCUGACGCAGCAACGCCGCGUGAGUGAUGAAGGUCUUCGGAUUGUAAAACUCUGUCUUUGGGGACGAUAAUGACGGUACCCAAGGAGGAAGCCACGGCUAACUACGUGCCAGCAGCCGCGGUAAUACGUAGGUGGCAAGCGUUGUCCGGAUUUACUGGGCGUAAAGAGUAUGUAGGCGGACAUUUAAGUCAGAUGUGAAAUCCCCGGGCUUAACCUGGGAGCUGCAUUUGAUACUGGGUGUCUAGAGUGUAGGAGAGGAAAGUGGAAUUCCUAGUGUAGCGGUGAAAUGCGUAGAGAUUAGGAAGAACACCAGUGGCGAAGGCGACUUUCUGGACUAUAACUGACGCUGAGAUACGAAAGCGUGGGGAGCAAACANGAUUAGAUACCCUGGUAGNNNACGCCGUANACGAUGAAUACU
RNAcentral lists this ribosomal RNA (793 nucleotides) under bacterium enrichment culture clone 3-13. Its description in RNAcentral is "bacterial SSU rRNA". It matches the Rfam family "Bacterial small subunit ribosomal RNA", at positions 1 to 817 of the family's 1533-position model. The record is from RNAcentral.